RNAcentral lists this transfer RNA (72 nucleotides) under Candidatus Shapirobacteria bacterium CG_4_8_14_3_um_filter_39_11. RNAcentral's name for it is "tRNA-Lys". It matches the Rfam family "tRNA". Rfam says of the family: Transfer RNA (tRNA) molecules are approximately 80 nucleotides in length. Their secondary structure includes four short double-helical elements and three loops (D, anti-codon, and T loops). Further hydrogen bonds mediate the characteristic L-shaped molecular structure. tRNAs have two regions of fundamental functional importance: the anti-codon, which is responsible for specific mRNA codon recognition, and the 3' end, to which the tRNAs corresponding amino acid is attached (by aminoacyl-tRNA synthetases). tRNAs cope with the degeneracy of the genetic code in two manners: having more than one tRNA (with a specific anti-codon) for a particular amino acid; and 'wobble' base-pairing, i.e. permitting non-standard base-pairing at the 3rd anti-codon position. Lineage: Bacteria; Candidatus Shapironibacteriota. RNAcentral also lists the same sequence under 3 other names. The record is from RNAcentral.
GGGGUGUUAGCUCAGCGGUAGAGCAGUCGCCUCUUAAGCGAUUGGUCGAAGGUUCGAAUCCUUCACACCUCA